UACGAAGGGGGCUAGCGUUGUUCGGAAUUACUGGGCGUAAAGCGCGCGCAGGCGGUCUUCUAAGUCAGUGGUGAAAGCCCGGAGCUCAACUCCGGAAUUGCCAUUGAAACUGUGAGACUGGAGUUCGAGAGAGGUGAGUGGAAUUCCCAGUGUAGAGGUGAAAUUCGUAGAUAUUGGGAAGAACACCGGUGGCGAAGGCGGCUCACUGGCUCGUAACUGACGCUCAGGCGCGACAGCGUGGGGAUCAAACAGG
Molecule: ribosomal RNA, 253 nt
Filed under: uncultured bacterium
Lineage: Bacteria
Description: partial 16S ribosomal RNA
Rfam family: Bacterial small subunit ribosomal RNA
Source: RNAcentral